RNAcentral lists this ribosomal RNA (475 nucleotides) under uncultured organism. RNAcentral's name for it is "partial 16S ribosomal RNA". It matches the Rfam family "Bacterial small subunit ribosomal RNA", at positions 333 to 799 of the family's 1533-position model. The record is from RNAcentral.
ACACUCCUGCGGGAGGCAGCAGUGGGGAAUUUUGGACAAUGGGCGAAAGCCUGAUCCAGCAAUGCCGCGUGAGUGAAGAAGGCCUUCGGGUUGUAAAGCUCUUUUGUCAGGGAAGAAACGGUGAAAGCUAAUAUCUUUUGCUAAUGACGGUACCUGAAGAAUAAGCACCGGCUAACUACGUGCCAGCAGCCGCGGUAAUACGUAGGGUGCAAGCGUUAAUCGGAAUUACUGGGCGUAAAGCGUGCGCAGGCGGUUUUGUAAGUCUGAUGUGAAAUCCCCGGGCUCAACCUGGGAAUUGCAUUGGAGACUGCAAGGCUAGAAUCUGGCAGAGGGGGGUAGAAUUCCACGUGUAGCAGUGAAAUGCGUAGAUAUGUGGAGGAACACCGAUGGCGAAGGCAGCCCCCUGGGUCAAGAUUGACGCUCAUGCACGAAAGCGUGGGGAGCAAACAGGAUUAGAUACCCGUGUAGUCCCAUG